GAAUUUUGCAUAUCUUGUUAUUUCAAAAAGGGUGAGCUUGUGCACGUUGGUUGCGGUUGGAAUAAGAGGUGAUUGAGGAGUAAGCUUGUGAGAUUGAGCGACGACGGGCGUGGAGGAUGUUGAGCAGAAUUCAUGGAUUAUUUAUGUUUGGCUUAAUAUUGUUGGAUGUGUCGUGUCUUCAUACUCGGCAUUUUCCGUGUCUUGAACGCUUCCGCUAGGUGUCUUUUCUUUAAAAUUGUUUUAGUAUUGAGAACCUAACUCUUUUCAAAAUUGUCUACUUUCUAGUCUUUAUUUCUUAGAAUUGGUACUUUGUUGAA
This is a non-coding RNA of Salvia hispanica, 317 nucleotides long. NCBI's taxonomy places the organism in Eukaryota, Viridiplantae, Streptophyta, Magnoliopsida, Lamiales, Lamiaceae. The record is from RefSeq and is a predicted model, not a curated record.